This is a long non-coding RNA of Musa acuminata AAA Group (dessert banana), 3635 nucleotides long. RefSeq lists it as uncharacterized. The record is from RefSeq and is a predicted model, not a curated record. The transcript has 3 exons. NCBI's taxonomy places the organism in Eukaryota, Viridiplantae, Streptophyta, Magnoliopsida, Zingiberales, Musaceae.
CCAUCGCUCUUCUCGUCAUUCUAGGGUUGCGUCGCCGCCUGUCCUACUAUUGGUUCUCGUUACCCCUUGGGUUUCCGUCCCAAUCUUUUGUGUCCGAUCUGAUGGUUGAGCCACUCUGUUCGCCGAUACACGGCCGAUCUGAUGUUUCGGCGACACCGAUCAUCGAUCAUGCCCGAUUUGAUUAUUUGGAGGUUUCCGUCUUCGAUACAUGGCCAUAUGAUGUUUCGGCGGCUUUGGUAGCCGAUCUAUGAUUUUGAAGUGGUAACUGGUAUAAAUUUUUGCAGCCGAUUGCAGGAUGCUGGGGUUCGUGCAGAGCUUCGGGGUUCGUGAAUGGAGCGGCAGCAGCUUAUGAUCGUGUAUCUCGUUCCAGCUGGAGUUCUUUCAUGCCCUAAUUGGACCUUGUUUUUUACGCGGCGCAUCGGGAGACGAAGAUAUAUGUUUCAGACGAGGUUGUUGGUGGACGGAUCCUCAUCAUGUCUCUCGUUUUAAGUACUUAGAACUAGAGAUGUUAAUAUGGGGUUCUUUCUGAUGUAGAGCAUCUGCAAAGCCGGAAAUCUCCAUCGAGGGUAAGGUAAAUUAGGGACAUGUUCAGUCCAUCUAUUCUUUUGUCACACCGACCUUUGCCAUGUUGGGUGCGCUCGCAUGGCAGGUCAAAGAAACAUAAUAAAAAAAGAAGUUUUUUGUGUUCUUGGGGAGAUCGCAUGGGGUGAUUUUAGAACCCCGGGUUCUCCCCACGGUGUGUAUUUUGUUCCCCUCCAUCUACUCCGCCCUUCAGAUUUCUUGCACGGUCUCCUCGGGACAAUUCCAUGACCUACCUGAUCAGUACCUUCUACAAUCAUGAUCCACCAAUAUUCGUGGCAAUUCGGAAGCAUAGUGAACAUACCGAGGCACAUCUACGGGAAUCGUCUGCAUCAUAUUAAGGUACUAUUUUCUUACACGAUGUGGUCACUCCGAAGCCAUCCUCUCUGCCAGUUGCAAGGUAUGAUUUACUUCGAGUUAGCGUUCGAACGACUUAUGCAAUAUCUAUAAUAAUCCUGGUUUACCCAUCUAUCAGUUAGCGUUCGAACGAGUUAGCGUUCGAACGACUUAUGAAAAUAAUGCCGUAUCUAUCAGUUAGUGAUUAUUGAUCUUUCACCAAGACUGUUUAGUCAAUAUCCAUAAUAAUCCUGGUUUACCCAGUGUUGUCUCCACCCGGUUUAUAGUACCGCUUUCGAUCUCGUUACAUUUAAGUAUUAAGCAUUUAUUUAUGCGUUCUUGUCUCGAAUACCAAGGUGUUAUGGAUCUUUGUGCAAUUGUUGUGGUAUAUUGUCCGCUAUGUCUUUGUAUUUCAAUUUAGAUGUUUUACUUGUUUGUUCAUGAUGUAACUUGUCAAGCAAAGGACCCUAUCUAGGCAAUGUCGUUAUGCCUCGGAACUGUGUGAUUGCUUGUUGUAUGUGAGAUAUUUUGUAUCUUUGUUCAUAAUGUUUCCUAGGAUUGAUUCGUCGUCGGCCUCUCGUGAUGGUCUUGAGAUUUGCGGAUUCAGCUGCUGUGAAGACUUGUGGCGGUAGAAGACUGCUGGUAUUCGCUUCGAUGAUUAGCUGCUUCAGUGUGUACCUUGGUCGCUCAGUUUAUCUUGAGCCUGGAACCUAUCUUCCGGAUUCUGCCUUCUCGUUCUGUGCUGCUGCAGUUCGCCACUUGCUUGAGAUUUCAACGGCUUGAGAUUUCGACGUGGCAGCUCGUACACUGCUGUAAAAUGGUUUGUUCAACUAAUUUAUUUCUUUCCUGCAUAUCAAGCUUCAUGUUAGCUAACAUUUGAUCGCAGAGUCAGUUGGGAGGUUGUACGCCUAAAUUUGUGUGCUCUUAAGAGAUUUAAUGGUAUGGCAUGUGGUGAUUAUGCAUUCUCGUCAUAUUCGUUUAUUCGCUCGCUAUUUGUCUAAUGUAGCCUUAUUUUCUGUAAAUGGUUGACGGUCAUUCAUUUUAUUGUCGUUAACAUCGGUUUUACUCUCAAUGUUUGCAUUUGCUGUAGCUUAAUUUAUUUUUCCUUUUUUUUUCGCCAGGUUGUAUCGACGGUGAAUCUGUGUUAAUUAAUUGCCAUUAACACUGUUAUGAAGAUGUGCUGUUGUAUAUCAACGGCAGUUGUGUUAAGUCUUUGUUUACUGGAGAAUAUUAACGUGGGCGUCUCCAUGUUAUAAGUCUCCUCCAAAGUAGUUCAAUGGCAUAUGGGAGUUAUUAUUGUGUGAGUUAUGGGAAUUUGAUCCAAUUUUAAAAGUGUUUGUUAUUGGAAUCAACAGAAAUUAUAUUCUUUUAAUUUUAUCGGCUUCUGUCAGAAAUUUUGUUAAAUAUUUUUAUUGCAUUUUAAGUUGUGACGUUGUACUCGUUUUGGUUGAUGUCAUAUAUUCUCUCUUUUUUAAACGUAACAAUUAUGUGAGUUGUCCAUUGUAACCUCGGCCUGUCUGGUAGAGUUAUUGAGGUUUAAACGAGAUAAAAAUUGAUAAGUCAUUAGGCGAUUUGUGGUUAAAUUGAUAAGUCAUUAGGCGAUUUGUAGUCUGUUGAAGUUUUGCAGUGACAUGUCCGUUUACUUCGCAUUUGUGAAUCGGGUACUAGUGGUUCUUAAACCGCCCCCUACGGUCCGAUGGCUGUUCUAUUCAACCCCGAAUCUUGUUUCUACCUUGGGGCCAAGGCUCGAACCGUUGGUUAGGUUGCAAGUGAAUCCUUUUUUUUUUUUUUUUUCUAGAUUUCUAGAGCCGGGUGAGUUUGUGUUUUAUUCAUUUUGUCGUUUGGAAACCACAUGAUGGUGGAGUGCUGCAUAUGGAUCUUUAAGCUCAAAAUGGCAGAGCGCUCAGUCGUUUGUGUUUCAAAUGGCUUGAGAGGGUGGUGGUUCGAAUCCAUCAAGAUCUACUUCAUUAGUGUACUUUUUGGUGCUGCCUGUACUUGUGUCAUGGUCGUUGGGCUGUCGAGGCUGUGUUGGAUGUUCAAAUCUGGGCCCUAUUUAUUGGAAAAUGUAGUUUUUAAUGGUGUAAAAAAUAUCAUCUGUAUACUUAAUAUAGUAAAAUUGUUUUCUUAUAAUUAUGAAAGAUGAUAAAAGUUGUUGGAACUCAAUUAGGAAACAUAGUAUUUUCUUUCAUUCCUGUAGGAAGACUUAAAUUACGAAGAAUUAUACAUUUUUAUGAUAAAUAUACAUCAAUUGAAUUUAUUUGUUUUUAGGGUUGAAUUGAUUAUUCGUUUUUAUGACUAUGCUUGAGACACUAGUGAGAAGGAAAUAAAUAAAAGAAUAUUAUAUUUUCGAUAAAAUUAAAGUUACAAAUGAGCAAAGUAAGCUAUCAGAUAAAAAUUAAAUGGAGUUCAAAAUUUAUUUACAUUAUGUAAAUUAAAUGUAUAGUUGACAUGUUGAUUACAAGCUGGAGAAAUGAAAAAUUAAAUUUGAUGGUGCCAAUGUGGAGAAAUAAAAAAAUUAAAUAGGAGGAGGAGGUGAUCGUGAAGGAGCUUUCUAUUGUGACAAGCGGCGGCCAACGACAAUUGAUGGGUGAGCAACGAGUGGCAUCGAGCGACGUCUUUCCCUUCAACGAGCAGUGUCGUCGUGAACGGUCACAAACUAUGGCAUAGAGCGACAAUGAACGAUGGAAAAUUUUAAUAUUUCAAAGAUAUUCCAAGGUAAA